RNAcentral lists this ribosomal RNA (274 nucleotides) under Bacteroidales bacterium. Its description in RNAcentral is "partial 23S ribosomal RNA". It matches the Rfam family "Bacterial large subunit ribosomal RNA", at positions 2635 to 2925 of the family's 2925-position model. The record is from RNAcentral. Lineage: Bacteria; Pseudomonadati; Bacteroidota; Bacteroidia; Bacteroidales.
UCCCUAUCUGUUGUGGGCGUUGGAGACUUGAGAGGUCCUGGCAUUAGUACGAGAGGACCGUGUUGGACAAACCUCUAGUGUACCUGUUGUGGCGCCAGCUGCAUCGCAGGGUAGCUACGUUUGGAAGAGAUAAGCACUGAAAGCAUCUAAGUGCGAAGCUCCCCUCAAGAUGAGGUCUCCUUUAAGGGUCGUUCUAGACUAGGACGUUGAUAGGCUGUAGGUGUAAAUGCGGUAACGUAAAAGCCGAGCAGUACUAAUUACCCGUAACUUUCUA